GACGAACGCUGGCGGCAUGCCUAAUACAUGCAAGUCGAGCGAACAGAUGAAGUGCUUGCACUUCUGACGUUAGCGGCGAACGGGUGAGUAACACGUAAGGAAUCUACCUAUAAGCGGGGGAUAACAUUCGGAAACGGGUGCUAAUACCGCAUAAUAUCUUCUUCCGCAUGGACGAAGAUUAAAAGACGGCUCUGCUGUCACUUAUAGAUGACCUUGCGGUGCAUUAGUUAGUUGGUGGGGUAAUGGCCUACCAAGACGAUGAUGCAUAGCCGACCUGAGAGGGUGAUCGGCCACAUUGGGACUGAGAGACGGCCCAAACUCCUACGGGAGGCAGCAGUAGGGAAUCUUCCGCAAUGGGCGAAAGCCUGACGGAGCAAUGCCGCGUGAGGGAAGAAGGCCUUCGGGUCGUAAAACUCUGUUAUAAGAGAAGAACAAAUUGUAGAGUAACUGCUACAGUCUUGACGGUAUCUUAUCAGAAAGCCACGGCUAACUACGUGCCAGCCGCCGCCGUAA
Molecule: ribosomal RNA, 513 nt
Filed under: uncultured bacterium
Lineage: Bacteria
Description: partial 16S ribosomal RNA
Rfam family: Bacterial small subunit ribosomal RNA
Source: RNAcentral